This 445-nucleotide ribosomal RNA is filed under the name uncultured bacterium. Its description in RNAcentral is "partial 16S ribosomal RNA". It matches the Rfam family "Bacterial small subunit ribosomal RNA", at positions 330 to 793 of the family's 1533-position model. The record is from RNAcentral.
UCCAGACUCCUACGGGAGGCAGCAGUAAGGGAUAUUGGUCAAUGGGGGAAACCCUGAACCAGCAACGCCGCGUGAGGGAAGACGGUUUUCGGAUUGUAAACCUCUGUCCUCUGUGAAGAUGAUGACGGUAGCAGAGGAGGAAGCUCCGGCUAACUACGUGCCAGCAGCCGCGGUAAUACGUAGGGAGCAAGCGUUGUCCGGAAUUACUGGGUGUAAAGGGAGCGUAGGCGGGAUGGCAAGUUGGGUGUUAAAUCUACCGGCUCAACUGGUAGUCGCACUCAAAACUGCUAUUCUUGAGUGAAGUAGAGGCAGGCGGAAUUCCUAGUGUAGCGGUGAAAUGCGUAGAUAUUAGGAGGAACACCAGUGGCGAAGGCGGCCUGCUGGGCUUUUACUGACGCUGAGGCUCGAAAGUGUGGGGAGCAAACAGGAUUAGAUACCCGAGUAU